AAACGAACACGAAAUUCAAAGGGAAACAGGAGCAAUCAUCAUUACCAGCUGCCGUGUUAAGCAUUGCGAAAACGCUCACGAUUCACAGAAAAAUCCAUGCUGUUCUUUGAAGGCAUUCAAGCCUUAAUAGCUAGCUGGAUGAAUGUUUAACUUCUAGGCCAGGCACUACUCUGUCCCAACAAUAAGCCCUGUACAUUGGGAAAGGUGCCGAGACAUGAACUUUGGUCUUCUCUGCAAUCCAUCUGGAGCAUUCACUGACAACAUCGACUUUGAAGUUGCACUGACCUGGCCAGCCCUGCCACUUACCAGGUUGGCAUCUGGCAUCUUUCUUGACAUAUGUAGCAGUUGCUUUUUGACAGCUUGCUUCUUCAGUGAAUGAAUAAAUUAAUAAAGAGAAAUGUGAUGUUCAGUGAUCCAUUUUGCAGAUUGAGCCUCAUAUUUCAUAUCUGCCCCUGGCCUAAUGGUUGUUUACAGAAUGAGCUCAAUGAAUAUUGUUAAAUAACACUAACAAAGUUGACCUUAGAAUUGGAGUGCCUGGGUUAGAACCCUGCUGGUACCACCUGCUUACUGCAUGCUUCUGAUGUGAGUUCAGGAGAAGACACUGGCAAGGACAGCAAAGAACAGGAGAACACUCUAGCUUCCCUGAUAGCAUUCAAGGUGCUGUCCAAACUGACUGUGAUGGCACCCUCCAGACAGACAGCGAUGCCACAUGUUCAAGAUGGCAGAAUCACUAUCAGCUUCAAUUCCUGAAUGACUGCAGAGCAAAAUUUCUUACCUGCAACAUACACUCUAUUUUCAGCCUCCCUGGACUGUUACAUAAUGAUACAUAAAAAUAUUUCUUGUGUUGAGGCAUCCCAAAUUUGAUUUAUUUGUCAUCACAGUCUAUCCUAUGAAUAUAUUUCUGAUCCAAAUAAUGCUAGAUUCAUGAGAGUUUAUAGUCCAGAGAUUUUUUUUUUUUUUUUGAGACAGAAUCUGUCUCCCAGGCUGGGGUGCAGUGGCAUAAUCUUAGCUCACUGCAACCUCUGCCUCCCGGGCUCAAGUGAUCCUCCCUCCUUAGCCUCCAUGAGUAGCUGGGACCACAGGUGUGCACCACCACACCCCGCUAAUUAUUUUGUAUUUUUUGCAGAGGGGGGUUUCACCACAUUGCCCAAGCUGGUCUCAAACUCCUAGACUUAAGGGAUCUGCCUGCCUUGGCCUCCCAAAAUGCUGAAAUUACACUUGUUAGCCAUAGUAAUAGUUCCUAGCCAUAGUCCGGAGAUAUUUUAAAAACUUUAGUGUGAGUUAUUUCUCUUUGCUAUAAUUCUCUCAUGCAUUUUGAAAACCUUUUCUGCCAUACAGUGGUUUUUGGGAAGUCCUUUUGGACAGACAUAUCACAGGAUGGAGAAACUAAAAAGAGAGAAUGCAUUAAAGAAAAAAUAGUACUUCGUAUUUCAGAAAUUACAAAAGGGUGUCAUGCCCCACAGCAUGGUGGGCAGUCAUUUGUAACCCACAGAACAUUGAGUUUCUAAAAUUUGAGUGUUUUUAACUUACGAAGGCCAACUUUACUGAUGAAGUGAUUACCCCAAAUAUGUGAAAUCCAUAUUUCAAGUACAAUAGUAGGAAAUUGGAAAUGGGUAGGUAUAUUUCUGACUGUCAAAGAGUACAAAGUAAAGAGGGGCCCCUGAAGAGUGACACUACUGGAAAAACAGAAGAAAAAAAAAA
Molecule: long non-coding RNA, 1701 nt
Organism: Homo sapiens (human)
Lineage: Eukaryota; Metazoa; Chordata; Mammalia; Primates; Hominidae
Gene: CASC19
Product: cancer susceptibility 19
Source: Ensembl